GAAAGUAAAAAAGGGCGCAUGGCGGAUGCCUUGGCUCUCGGAGGCGAUGAAGGACGUGAUAAGCUGCGAUAAGCUUUGGGGAGGUGCAAAUGACCUUUGAUCCAGAGAUUUCCGAAUGGGACAACCCAAUAUCUUGAAGAGGUAUUAUCCAACGUUGUUGGAGGCUAACGCAGGGAACUGAAACAUCUUAGUACCUGCAGGAAAAGAAAAUAAACAAUGAUUCCCCCAGUAGUGGCGAGCGAACGGGGAACAGCCCAAACCAUCCAUGUUACGGCAUGGGUGGGGUUGUAGGACUACGCCGUUGCAUGAAGACAUCAGAGAAGAACUUUCUGGAAAGAAAGACCAUAGAGCAUGACAGUUGCGUAUUCGAACGUUGUCGAAGCAUAGUAGUAUCCUGAGUAGCGCGGAGCACGAGGAAUUCUGCGUGAAUCUGCCGGGACCAUCCGGUAAGGCUAAAUACUCCCGAGAGACCGAUAGCGAACCAGUACCGUGAGGGAAAGGUGAAAAGCACUUCGAACAGAAGAGUGAAAUAGUUCCUGAAACCGUGCGCCUACAAGCGGUCGGAGCUCGUUAAUGAGUGACGGCGUGCCUUUUGCAUAAUGAACCUACGAGUUGCCUUUGCCGGCAAGGUUAAGUGUGACGACACACGUAUCCGAAGCGAAAGCGAGUCUGAACAGGGCGUAUAGUCGGCAGUGGCAGACGCGAAACCAAGUGAUCUACCCUUGGCCAGGUUGAAGGCUGGGUAACACCAGCUGGAGGACCGCACCAAUAAGCGUUGAAAAGCUUCUGGAUGAGCUGAGGGUAGGGGUGAAAGGCUAAUCAAACUUGGAGAUAGCUCGUACUCCCCGAAAUGCAUUUAGGUGCAGCCUUGCGGGUUACUGAUGUGAGGUAGAGCGACUGAUAAGAUGCGAGGGCUUCACCGCCUAUCAAGUCUUGACAAACUCCGAAUGCGCAUCAGUUCUACCGCAGGAGUGAGGGCAUGGGUGCUAAGGUCCGUGCCCGAGAGGAGAAGAAUCCGGACCACCUGCUAAGGUCCCGAAAUGACAGCUAAGUUAAACUAACGAAGUCUGACUGCUAAGACAGCUAGGAUGUUGGCUUGGAAGCAGCCAUUCAUUUAAAGAGUGCGUAACAGCUCACUAGUCGAGGAGUCGGGCGUGGAUAAUAAUCGGGUAUUAAGUUGUCUACCGAAGCAGUGGGAUCAUUAAUAUGAUCGGUAGGGGAGCAUUCCAGUCAGCGUCGAAGGCGUACCGUGAGGUAUUCUGGAGCGUCUGGAAAAGCAAAUGUAGGUAUAAGUAACGAUAAAGGGGGCGGGAAACCCCCUCGCCGAAAGACUAAGGUUUCCUGAUCAACGCUAAUCGGAUCAGGGUCAGUCGGGUCCUAAGGCUCAGCCGAACGGCGAUGCCGAUGGCAGAAACGGUUAAUAUUCCGUUACUACCUUCAGGAGUGACGUGGAGACGCAGUAGUGACAGUGCCGCCAUCUGACGGAAUAGAUGGUUGAAGGGUGUAGGAGUCGAUCAUGGCAGGCAAAUCCACCAUGAGAUCCGAACCUGAUAGUAUGCCGCGUCCUUCGGGACAAGGCAAUAGUGCGCGUAAGCAUGCUGCCGAGAAAAUCCGCUAAACUUAAUCCUGCAGGUACCCGUACCGCAAACGGACACACGUAGUCGGGAUGAAUAUUCUAAGGCGCUUGAGUGAUUCACGGUUAAGGAACUAGGCAAACUGACCCUGUAACUUCGGGAUAAAGGGUCCCUACCCUUUUAUGGGAGGGCGCAGAGAAUCGGUCCAGGCAACUGUUUAACAAAAACACAGGGCUGUGCCAAAUCGAAAGAUCCAGUAUACAGCCUGACACCUGCCCGGUGCUGGAAGGUUAAGAGGAGAUGUCAUCGAUAAGAGAAGCGUUGAAUUGAAGCCCCAGUAAACGGCGGCCGUAACUAUAACGGUCCUAAGGUAGCGAAAUUCCUUGUCGGGUAAGUUCCGACCUGCACGAAUGGUGUAAUGAUCUGGACGCUGUCUCAACCGUGAGCUCAGUGAAAUUGUAGUAUCGGUGAAGAUGCCGAUUACCCGCGAUGGGACGAAAAGACCCCGUGAACCUUUACUAUAGCUUAUCAUUGAAUCUGGGCACGUGAUGUGUAGGAU
Molecule: ribosomal RNA, 2133 nt
Filed under: gut metagenome
Description: bacterial LSU rRNA
Rfam family: Bacterial large subunit ribosomal RNA
Source: RNAcentral